RNAcentral lists this long non-coding RNA (452 nucleotides) under Setaria viridis. RNAcentral's name for it is "long non-coding RNA (SVIR_LNC010166)". The record is from RNAcentral. Lineage: Eukaryota; Viridiplantae; Streptophyta; Magnoliopsida; Poales; Poaceae.
AAAAUUCUACAUGUAUAGUGAAAGAAGCUACCUUCUUAAGCAAUUUACGCUUGAGGUUCGUUCGUCUAUAUUUCUAACAAAGUAAAUUUAAAUAAACAAAGAUAUUACAUGAUUUUAUAAAAAAGUGUUGCUGUCAUGGUUUUCAUAUGUUAACUUGAAACUAUAGCUACAAAGAUAAGCUAAAUAAUUGAAAAUUUGUAUUUUUAGUAACAUGGUAUGUUUACUCUCGUACUAUCUUACUCCAUCAGUUCGUUUUUAGAUUGUGUAGUUUAAUUGUUCUUAAUUUGAUCUUUGACCGUAAUUUUUCCUAUAGUAUUUUUUUAAUAGUUACAAAAUAAUACGGAAAGUGUUUAAGUACGAAUAAAAAUGGUCUUUGACUACAAAUUUUCCUACAAUUCACAUUUUAUUAGAUUUAAUGUUACUCAAAUCGUCAUUUUGGAUUGCCCCCCCCC